RNAcentral lists this ribosomal RNA (336 nucleotides) under Klebsiella pneumoniae. Its description in RNAcentral is "bacterial LSU rRNA". It matches the Rfam family "Bacterial large subunit ribosomal RNA", at positions 1097 to 1432 of the family's 2925-position model. The record is from RNAcentral. Lineage: Bacteria; Pseudomonadati; Pseudomonadota; Gammaproteobacteria; Enterobacterales; Enterobacteriaceae.
GAUGUUGGCUUAGAAGCAGCCAUCAUUUAAAGAAAGCGUAAUAGCUCACUGGUCGAGUCGGCCUGCGCGGAAGAUGUAACGGGGCUAAACCAUGCACCGAAGCUGCGGCAGCGACACUAUGUGUUGUUGGGUAGGGGAGCGUUCUGUAAGCCUGCGAAGGUGUGCUGUGAGGCAUGCUGGAGGUAUCAGAAGUGCGAAUGCUGACAUAAGUAACGAUAAAGCGGGUGAAAAGCCCGCUCGCCGGAAGACCAAGGGUUCCUGUCCAACGUUAAUCGGGGCAGGGUGAGUCGACCCCUAAGGCGAGGCCGAAAGGCGUAGUCGAUGGGAAACAGGUUA